CCUACGGGAGGCAGCAGUGAGGAAUAUUGGUCAAUGGACGAGAGUCUGAACCAGCCAAGUAGCGUGAAGGAUGACUGCCCUAUGGGUUGUAAACUUCUUUUAUAUGGGAAUAAAAUGUUCCACGUGUGGGCGUUUGUAUGUACCAUAUGAAUAAGGAUCGGCUAACUCCGGGCCAGCAGCCGCGGUAAUACGGCGGAUCCGAGCGUUAUCCGGAUUUAUUGGGGUUAAAGGGAGCGUCGAUGGGUUGUUAAGUCAGUGGUGAACGUUUGCGGCUCAACCGUAAAAUUGCAAUUGAUACUGGCAGCCUUGAGUACAGUUGUGGUAGGCGGAAUUCGUGGUGUAGCGGUGAAAUGCUUAGAUAUCACGAAGAACUCCGAUUGCGAAGGCAGCUUACUAAACUGCCACUGACAUUGCUGCUCGAAAGUGUGGGUAUCAAACAGGAUUAGAUACCCCAGUAGUC
RNAcentral lists this ribosomal RNA (460 nucleotides) under uncultured bacterium. RNAcentral describes it as "partial 16S ribosomal RNA". It matches the Rfam family "Bacterial small subunit ribosomal RNA", at positions 338 to 795 of the family's 1533-position model. The record is from RNAcentral.